This 2797-nucleotide ribosomal RNA is filed under the name Escherichia coli 201600.1. Its description in RNAcentral is "bacterial LSU rRNA". It matches the Rfam family "Bacterial large subunit ribosomal RNA". The record is from RNAcentral. Lineage: Bacteria; Pseudomonadati; Pseudomonadota; Gammaproteobacteria; Enterobacterales; Enterobacteriaceae.
UUAAGCGACUAAGCGUACACGGUGGAUGCCCUGGCAGUCAGAGGCGAUGAAGGACGUGCUAAUCUGCGAUAAGCGUCGGUAAGGUGAUAUGAACCGUUAUAACCGGCGAUUUCCGAAUGGGGAAACCCAGUGUGUUUCGACACACUAUCAUUAACUGAAUCCAUAGGUUAAUGAGGCGAACCGGGGGAACUGAAACAUCUAAGUACCCCGAGGAAAAGAAAUCAACCGAGAUUCCCCCAGUAGCGGCGAGCGAACGGGGAGCAGCCCAGAGCCUGAAUCAGUGUGUGUGUUAGUGGAAGCGUCUGGAAAGGCGCGCGAUACAGGGUGACAGCCCCGUACACAAAAAUGCACAUGCUGUGAGCUCGAUGAGUAGGGCGGGACACGUGGUAUCCUGUCUGAAUAUGGGGGGACCAUCCUCCAAGGCUAAAUACUCCUGACUGACCGAUAGUGAACCAGUACCGUGAGGGAAAGGCGAAAAGAACCCCGGCGAGGGGAGUGAAAAAGAACCUGAAACCGUGUACGUACAAGCAGUGGGAGUCCUCUUUAUGGGGUGACUGCGUACCUUUUGUAUAAUGGGUCAAGCGACUUAUAUUCUGUAGCAAGGUUAACCGAAUAGGGGAGCCGAAGGGAAACCGAGUCUUAACUGGGCGUUAAGUUGCAGGGUAUAGACCCGAAACCCGGUGAUCUAGCCAUGGGCAGGUUGAAGGUUGGGUAACACUAACUGGAGGACCGAACCGACUAAUGUUGAAAAAUUAGCGGAUGACUUGUGGCUGGGGUGAAAGGCCAAUCAAACCGGGAGAUAGCUGGUUCUCCCCGAAAGCUAUUUAGGUAGCGCCUCGUGAAUUCAUCUCCGGGGGUAGAGCACUGUUUCGGCAAGGGGGUCAUCCCGACUUACCAACCCGAUGCAAACUGCGAAUACCGGAGAAUGUUAUCACGGGAGACACACGGCGGGUGCUAACGUCCGUCGUGAAGAGGGAAACAACCCAGACCGCCAGCUAAGGUCCCAAAGUCAUGGUUAAGUGGGAAACGAUGUGGGAAGGCCCAGACAGCCAGGAUGUUGGCUUAGAAGCAGCCAUCAUUUAAAGAAAGCGUAAUAGCUCACUGGUCGAGUCGGCCUGCGCGGAAGAUGUAACGGGGCUAAACCAUGCACCGAAGCUGCGGCAGCGACGCUGAUGCGUUGUUGGGUAGGGGAGCGUUCUGUAAGCCUGUGAAGGUGUGCUGUGAGGCAUGCUGGAGGUAUCAGAAGUGCGAAUGCUGACAUAAGUAACGAUAAAGCGGGUGAAAAGCCCGCUCGCCGGAAGACCAAGGGUUCCUGUCCAACGUUAAUCGGGGCAGGGUGAGUCGACCCCUAAGGCGAGGCCGAAAGGCGUAGUCGAUGGGAAACAGGUUAAUAUUCCUGUACUUGGUGUUACUGCGAAGGGGGGACGGAGAAGGCUAUGUUGGCCGGGCGACGGUUGUCCCGGUUUAAGCGUGUAGGCUGGUUUUCCAGGCAAAUCCGGAAAAUCAAGGCUGAGGCGUGAUGACGAGGCACUACGGUGCUGAAGCAACAAAUGCCCUGCUUCCAGGAAAAGCCUCUAAGCAUCAGGUAACAUCAAAUCGUACCCCAAACCGACACAGGUGGUCAGGUAGAGAAUACCAAGGCGCUUGAGAGAACUCGGGUGAAGGAACUAGGCAAAAUGGUGCCGUAACUUCGGGAGAAGGCACGCUGAUAUGUAGGUGAAGUCCCUGCGGAUGGAGCUGAAAUCAGUCGAAGAUACCAGCUGGCUGCAACUGUUUAUUAAAAACACAGCACUGUGCAAACACGAAAGUGGACGUAUACGGUGUGACGCCUGCCCGGUGCCGGAAGGUUAAUUGAUGGGGUCAGCGCAAGCGAAGCUCUUGAUCGAAGCCCCGGUAAACGGCGGCCGUAACUAUAACGGUCCUAAGGUAGCGAAAUUCCUUGUCGGGUAAGUUCCGACCUGCACGAAUGGCGUAAUGAUGGCCAGGCUGUCUCCACCCGAGACUCAGUGAAAUUGAACUCGCUGUGAAGAUGCAGUGUACCCGCGGCAAGACGGAAAGACCCCGUGAACCUUUACUAUAGCUUGACACUGAACAUUGAGCCUUGAUGUGUAGGAUAGGUGGGAGGCUUAGAAGUGUGGACGCCAGUCUGCAUGGAGCCGACCUUGAAAUACCACCCUUUAAUGUUUGAUGUUCUAACGUUGACCCGUAAUCCGGGUUGCGGACAGUGUCUGGUGGGUAGUUUGACUGGGGCGGUCUCCUCCUAAAGAGUAACGGAGGAGCACGAAGGUUGGCUAAUCCUGGUCGGACAUCAGGAGGUUAGUGCAAUGGCAUAAGCCAGCUUGACUGCGAGCGUGACGGCGCGAGCAGGUGCGAAAGCAGGUCAUAGUGAUCCGGUGGUUCUGAAUGGAAGGGCCAUCGCUCAACGGAUAAAAGGUACUCCGGGGAUAACAGGCUGAUACCGCCCAAGAGUUCAUAUCGACGGCGGUGUUUGGCACCUCGAUGUCGGCUCAUCACAUCCUGGGGCUGAAGUAGGUCCCAAGGGUAUGGCUGUUCGCCAUUUAAAGUGGUACGCGAGCUGGGUUUAGAACGUCGUGAGACAGUUCGGUCCCUAUCUGCCGUGGGCGCUGGAGAACUGAGGGGGGCUGCUCCUAGUACGAGAGGACCGGAGUGGACGCAUCACUGGUGUUCGGGUUGUCAUGCCAAUGGCACUGCCCGGUAGCUAAAUGCGGAAGAGAUAAGUGCUGAAAGCAUCUAAGCACGAAACUUGCCCCGAGAUGAGUUCUCCCUGACUCCUUGA